This 270-nucleotide ribosomal RNA is filed under the name uncultured Smithella sp. Its description in RNAcentral is "partial 16S ribosomal RNA". It matches the Rfam family "Bacterial small subunit ribosomal RNA", at positions 1110 to 1382 of the family's 1533-position model. The record is from RNAcentral. Lineage: Bacteria; Pseudomonadati; Thermodesulfobacteriota; Syntrophia; Syntrophales; Smithellaceae.
CUUAAUUGCCAGCAUUCAGUUGGGCACUUUAAAGAGACUGCCGGUGUUAAACCGGAGGAAGGUGGGAUGACGUCAAGUCCUCAUGGCCUUUAUGCUUAGGGCUACACACGUGCUACAAUGGGUGGUACAAAGAGAAGCCAACUCGCGAGAGCGCGCCAAUCUCAAAAAGCCAUCCUCAGUUCGGAUUGGAGUCUGCAACUCGACUCCAUGAAGUUGGAAUCGCUAGUAAUCGCGGAUCAGCAUGCCGCGGUGAAUACGUUCCCGGGCCUU